CCGAGCGGCGCAGCGCGGUCCCUGCGGCCCGGAUCCCGACGCGAAGACCGCGGCCCCGCACGAAGGCUCGCGAGGGGCGCGGAGUGGCCACUGCGGACGGGACCGAGCGGGGCGGGGAGCCGCGUGGCGAAGCAGCCCCGGAUCUGGGUCAGGUCCGGCGGCACCGGAGGAGAGCCUGCCCUCGGGCUGCAGCCGGAGACAGAGCAAGCGGUCACAGUUCAGGGGCAGGCUCUGGAGGAAGCAGAAAAGCUCGGGCGGUGUGGGGUGUGGACCGCAGACCUUGGACGCGCUUAGCAGGAGGGGUGGCGAGCUCCGGCCCACCCUCCGUCCCAACGGGUUCAGUGGGCUCGGAGAGCUCAGGCCCAGCUCCCCUGUCUACCGCGGCGGGGAGAGGUAGAGGACUGCGAAGUUGCAGUCCAUUCCCCGCUCGGUCAUGGCACCCACACCCUGCAGAGUGGCCUUCACCCGCGCUCACCCCAGGUCAGAAGCCUGCCCAUCAGCACACGCGGGUGCCUGCACACACAGGGAAUCUGCCCUCGAAAUGGGAGGCAGAGUUCUGCUCUGCGUCUCACCCCAGUGGACACCCACAGCCACCGAGACUGUACAGAGCAAGGAGCAAGUCCCUGUGUGCAUGUGUGCUUGUUUGUGCAUGGAUGUAAUUGUAUGUUUGAGAGCUCGGAACGUAACAUGUUCCUGAUCCUGUGAACACUGCUGCGCCUGACCCACUGUCAGUGGUUUGUGCGCAUGUCCCUGCACAUACAGGCCCUCCUAUUGCAUGGGUGUGCAGUCGUUAAUAUAAACCUACACAUGUGCAGUAUAAUCCUGCUUGUCGCCUCUCCGCUGAAUGGAAGGGCAUGUGGACACCUGUGAGUGUGCGUGACUGCAUGUUGCCAUGUCCUCUGUGGACCCGCCUGCUGUGAACCUCCUGUGACUGAGUGACUCCUGCAGCCAUGCAAGUUCAUAGCUGUGUGUGUACCUCCCUCCCUCUGGGCUCAGGAGACUGAGAACAGCCCUGUGUAGUGUGCCCUACACACUGGUCCCUCUUAUCUGGGGUGUGUUCCUCCUGCCCAGUCGUAGGGACUGGUCCCUUCUAGCCAUAAGGCCCCCCUCUUCUUGCUGAGCAAACAGGAGGCCCCAGAGGUAAACAGGUGGGCCCCACAGUGAGGGUGGACAGGGGCAGCCUGCCUGGAGCCUCCCGCUGCCCCGGCCCCCAAACCAGGAACAGGUACCCUUCUGCCAGCACCCGGCGGCCCUCCUCUGCCCCUCCUCUGUUCCACUCUGCCCGAUGACAGUGCUGACCUUUGCCUCUUGAGUAAACCCUCCAGAUUCCUGUUUUCCCUGUGGCUCUCUCCUGACUCCUCCCUUCCCUUCAAGGCCAGGUAGUUAAUAUUUGACCUGGAAGCUUUAGGAGGCAGCUCAGGCCACCUCCACUCCCAGCCCAGCUCAGAAAGCCCCUCAGAGUGAGGGCCCUGCCGCCUGCGCCCACCUCAUACCCAGUGGUUGGCUUGAGAGAGGGUCCGGGUUGGGGAGCAGUCUCAAGAUGGACUGGGGCGCUGGUCAAGAGCUCGGGGCCCAGCGUCCACUUGGGGCACACGGCUUAGGUCUCUUGGCUGCUCCUGGCCCUUACACAGUGCAUCGCACCCUCCCGCACAGACUUCGUCGUGCAGCUAGGGGGCACCCAGAGGCCCACCCGCCCAGGCUGCCACCCCAGGCCCGUGAGUGCCUGCUGUCAGGUAGGAAGAAGCACUGCUCAGUGGACUCUUAGCUGAAGGCUGCAGUACUGACUCACACAGGCAGGACAGAAACGUGCCCCCCCCCCCAAGAAUGCCGUGGAGAAGUGUCUAAUUAAAGAGAAAUUCCAGAGGGAGCUCUCAGGCCAAGGAAAAGAAAAACAAAGGGAAAACAGGACGGAAUUAACAAAGGCCCGUUAAAGGUCCCUGCCCAGGCCUUCCUGCAGCGGGCUGGCGGCAGGGCAGCUAGUGCUGGAGGCGCAGGCCUUGGCUCUGAGAACCCAAACUCGACCGACCAGAAGAGGCCCGUUACCUUGGGCUUGCCAAGUUCUACCACAGCCUCUCCCUCAGCGGAGCUGCACAGACUGAGUCAGACCUGGCAUGGGAUCUCUGUGCCUCUACCCUCGGUGCCUCUGAAAGUCUGGGUAAUCCCAUCAUCCUCCUCCCACACUUAGAUCAAAGCACUUUCUCUUUUUUCCUCUCCUUCAAGAAACAGCUGUCAGAGAACCAGGACUAGCCCUGCAGUCUGGAGCAGGGUGACCCCAUCAGGAACCUACAGGCCUCUAGGAGUCCUCAACUCCCUAUCAGCAUGGAGUUUGCACUUGAUGCGGAAAGGCGUGUGAUGGACCCUCUCUGACCCCUGAGCUGUGACCCCAUGGCCAUAGGGCUCUGUGGCUCCAUGUCCCCCCUUCCAGGACCCCUCCCCUGGCCCCAGAACUGCUUGACCCCUGUGGCCUCAUGACCCCUGUCCUUCCUCGCCACCUUGCUGGACUCUGACCCCAGGGACUGUUUUUCCCAUCCCUCCUGUGCCUCUGGUCCUGGCUCCCGGUGGGGGGCUUGCGGGUCUGGACCUCCCCAGGAAGAUGUGGGGGAGGCUCUGGCCCCCUCCUCCUAGGCUUCUUCGCUGCAGCAGCCCCUGGGCCCUCCCUGCGGAGACCGUCCCCGCGAGCUGGACGCCACCCCACGGAUGACCAUCCC
Heterocephalus glaber (naked mole-rat) is the source of this 2708-nucleotide long non-coding RNA. NCBI's taxonomy places the organism in Eukaryota, Metazoa, Chordata, Mammalia, Rodentia, Bathyergidae. The record is from Ensembl.